GCUUACAGCCACACCACCUUGAGCACGCCUGAUCUCGUCUAAUCUCGGAAGCUAAGCAGGGUCGGGCCUGGUUAGUACUUGGAUGGGAGACCGCCUGCAAAUAGCAGGUGCUGUAAGCU
Lepisosteus oculatus (spotted gar) is the source of this 119-nucleotide ribosomal RNA. The record is from Ensembl. NCBI's taxonomy places the organism in Eukaryota, Metazoa, Chordata, Actinopteri, Semionotiformes, Lepisosteidae.